Molecule: ribosomal RNA, 406 nt
Filed under: uncultured bacterium
Lineage: Bacteria
Description: partial 16S ribosomal RNA
Rfam family: Bacterial small subunit ribosomal RNA
Source: RNAcentral
AUUGAACGCUGGCGGCAGGCCUAACACAUGCAAGUCGAACGAGUGGCGGACGGGUGAGUAAUGUCUGGGAAACUGCCCGAUGGAGGGGGAUAACUACUGGAAACGGUAGCUAAUACCGCAUACCCUCGGAUGUGCCCAGAGGGGCUUCGCUAGUAGGUGGGGUAACGGCUCACCUAGGCGACGAUCCCUAGCUGGUCUGAGAGGAUGACCAGCAAAAUUGGAAUUGAGACACGGCCCAGACGCCUACGGGAGGCAGCAGUGGGGAAUAUUCCAAAAUGGGCGCAAGCCUGAUGCAGCCAUGCCGCGUGUAUGAAGAAGGCCUGCGGGUUGUAAAGUACUUUCAUCGAGGAGGCGGUACUCGAAGAAGAAGCACCGGCUAACUCCGUGCCAGCAGCCGCGGUAAUAC